This 413-nucleotide ribosomal RNA is filed under the name uncultured bacterium. Its description in RNAcentral is "bacterial SSU rRNA". It matches the Rfam family "Bacterial small subunit ribosomal RNA", at positions 9 to 424 of the family's 1533-position model. The record is from RNAcentral.
GAGUUUGAUCCUGGCUCAGGACGAACGCUGGCGGCGUGCUUAACACAUGCAAGUCGAACGGUGAUGAGGAGCUUGCUUCUCUGAUCAGUGGCGAACGGGUGAGUAACACGUGAGUAACCUGCCCCUGACUCUGGGAUAAGCACUGGAAACGGUGUCUAAUACCGGAUACGAGCUUCAGCCGCAUGGCUAGGAGUUGGAAAGAAUUUCGGUUGGGGAUGGACUCGCGGCCUAUCAGCUAGUUGGUGAGGUAAUGGCUCACCAAGGCGACGACGGGUAGCCGGCCUGAGAGGGUGACCGGCCACACUGGGACUGAGACACGGCCCAGACUCCUACGGGAGGCAGCAGUGGGGAAUAUUGCACAAUGGGCGAAAGCCUGAUGCAGCAACGCCGCGUGAGGGACGACGGCCUCGGUU